RNAcentral lists this microRNA precursor (97 nucleotides) under Nicotiana sylvestris (wood tobacco). Its description in RNAcentral is "MIR6152 microRNA precursor family". It matches the Rfam family "MIR6152 microRNA precursor family". The record is from Rfam by way of RNAcentral. Lineage: Eukaryota; Viridiplantae; Streptophyta; Magnoliopsida; Solanales; Solanaceae. RNAcentral also lists the same sequence under 1 other name.
UGGACAGAUUAUUGUAUUCGACUGUAUUCACGGCGUGAAAUAGGGGAUUACACUGUUUUUAAAAUGGAAAGUGAAUCAAUUAACAUAAUAGACUCAU